UUAGGAAUCUUGGGCAAUGGGCGCAAGCCUGACCCAGCAACGCCGCGUGGGCGACGAAGCCCUUCGGGGUGUAAAGCCCUUUUCCGGGGGACGAAUCUGACGGUACCCCGGGAAGAAGCCCCGGCUAACUACGUGCCAGCAGCCGCGGUAAUACGUAGGGGGCGAGCGUUGUCCGGAAUCAUUGGGCGUAAAGCGCGCGCAGGCGGCCUGCAGAGCCCGGCGUGAAAGCCCCCGGCUCAACCGGGGGAGGCCGUCGGGGACCUGUGGGCUGGAGGCCGGCAGGGGAGAGCGGAAUUCCCGGUGUAGUGGUGGAAUGCGUAGAGAUCGGGAGGAACACCAGUGGCGAAGGCGGCUCUCUGGGCCGGUCCUGACGCUCAGGCGCGAAAGCGUGGGGAGCGAUCCGG
Molecule: ribosomal RNA, 404 nt
Filed under: Bacillota bacterium
Lineage: Bacteria; Bacillati; Bacillota
Description: Firmicutes bacterium partial 16S ribosomal RNA
Rfam family: Bacterial small subunit ribosomal RNA
Source: RNAcentral